GCAUUUUAUGUGACCUUUAAUCUUCAUAACCAUUUUAUGUCCUAGGAAUUAUUAUAUCAAUUUUGUAGAUGAAGAAAUGGAAAUUCACAAAGCUUAAGCAACUUGAGGUGUUUAAUAGUGAGUAAUAUGGAGGUGGGAUUUGAACCUAUAUCUGACUGAUGAGAUCUGUGCUUCUGACCGUUUUACUCUACUAUCAAUAGCAAUUGGCUUUCAUCUCCUCUAGACACUCUUAUAGUCUGGCUUGACUGUUCCCUGGGCUGGGCAUGUGCCCUAUACCUGACCAACCAGAGAUCAUUGUAGGACAGAAG
Molecule: long non-coding RNA, 308 nt
Filed under: Homo sapiens (human)
Lineage: Eukaryota; Metazoa; Chordata; Mammalia; Primates; Hominidae
Description: non-protein coding lnc-TRMT11-1:1
Source: RNAcentral